GACGAACGCUGGCGGCGUGCCUAAUACAUGCAAGUAGAACGCUGAAGAGAGGAGCUUGCUCUCCUUGGAUGAGUGGCGGAAGGGUGAGUAACGCGUAGGUAACCUGCCUUGUAGCGGGGGAUAACUAGUGGAAACGAUAGCUAAUACCGCAUGACAAUGUGUGACACAUGGCAUGUAUUUGAAAGGGGCAAUUGCUCCACUACAAGAUGGACCUGCGUUGUAUUAGCUGGUAGGUGAGGUAACGGCUCACCUAGGCGACGAUACAUAGCCGACCUGAGAUGGGGGGCGGCCCCCCUAGGACUGGGCCGCGGCCCGGCCCCCUACCCUACGCAGCGGUGCGGUAUCUUCGGCUAUGGGGGCGACCCUGACCUGGACCCGCCGCGCCGCGGGCGGAGGGGUGCGGCUCGUAACUCUCUGUCGCUUGUGCAGAGCGGGAAUGAGGGUGGCGCGUACACCCGGUGACGGUACCAUACGAGUAAGCGACGGCUAACUCCGUG
Molecule: ribosomal RNA, 497 nt
Filed under: uncultured bacterium
Lineage: Bacteria
Description: partial 16S ribosomal RNA
Rfam family: Bacterial small subunit ribosomal RNA
Source: RNAcentral